Molecule: ribosomal RNA, 616 nt
Filed under: Bradyrhizobiaceae bacterium D200
Lineage: Bacteria; Pseudomonadati; Pseudomonadota; Alphaproteobacteria; Hyphomicrobiales; Nitrobacteraceae
Description: bacterial SSU rRNA
Rfam family: Bacterial small subunit ribosomal RNA
Source: RNAcentral
AACGCUGGCGGCAGGCUUAACACAUGCAAGUCGAGCGGGCGUAGCAAUACGUCAGCGGCAGACGGGUGAGUAACGCGUGGGAACGUACCUUUUGGUUCGGAACAACACAGGGAAACUUGUGCUAAUACCGGAUAAGCCCUUACGGGGAAAGAUUUAUCGCCGAAAGAUCGGCCCGCGUCUGAUUAGCUAGUUGGUGAGGUAACGGCUCACCAAGGCGACGAUCAGUAGCUGGUCUGAGAGGAUGAUCAGCCACAUUGGGACUGAGACACGGCCCAAACUCCUACGGGAGGCAGCAGUGGGGAAUAUUGGACAAUGGGCGCAAGCCUGAUCCAGCCAUGCCGCGUGAGUGAUGAAGGCCCUAGGGUUGUAAAGCUCUUUUGUGCGGGAAGAUAAUGACGGUACCGCAAGAAUAAGCCCCGGCUAACUUCGUGCCAGCAGCCGCGGUAAUACGAAGGGGGCUAGCGUUGCUCGGAAUCACUGGGCGUAAAGGGUGCGUAGGCGGGUCUUUAAGUCAGGGGUGAAAUCCUGGAGCUCAACUCCAGAACUGCCUUUGAUACUGAAGAUCUUGAGUUCGGGAGAGGNGAGUGGAACUGCGAGUGUAGAGGUGAAAUUCGUA